This 498-nucleotide ribosomal RNA is filed under the name Pseudomonas citronellolis. RNAcentral describes it as "bacterial SSU rRNA". It matches the Rfam family "Bacterial small subunit ribosomal RNA", at positions 28 to 520 of the family's 1533-position model. The record is from RNAcentral. Lineage: Bacteria; Pseudomonadati; Pseudomonadota; Gammaproteobacteria; Pseudomonadales; Pseudomonadaceae.
GUUGAACGCUGGCGGCAGGCCUAACCAUGCAAGUCGAGCGGAUGAAGGGAGCUUGCUCCUGGAUUCAGCGGCGGACGGGUGAGUAAUGCCUAGGAAUCUGCCUGGUAGUGGGGGAUAACGUCCGGAAACGGGCGCUAAUACCGCAUACGUCCUGAGGGAGAAAGUGGGGGAUCUUCGGACCUCACGCUAUCAGAUGAGCCUAGGUCGGAUUAGCUAGUUGGUGGGGUAAAGGCCUACCAAGGCGACGAUCCGUAACUGGUCUGAGAGGAUGAUCAGUCACACUGGAACUGAGACACGGUCCAGACUCCUACGGGAGGCAGCAGUGGGGAAUAUUGGACAAUGGGCGAAAGCCUGAUCCAGCCAUGCCCGUGUGUUGAAGAAGGUCUUCGGAUUGUUAAAGCACUUUAAGUUGGGAGGAAAGGCAGUAAGUUAAAUACCUUUGCUGUUUUUGACGUUUCAACAGAAAUAAGCACCGUAACUUUCUUUCCAAAACCGCGG